GUUGAUUCCUAGCCCAGGGUCACAAACGAAAUGAUCCAGGGAGGUGAUUUACAUUCCUAGCACAGUUCAUAGAGAAAACCAAAGGCCAAGCUACAUGGAAUGAAAAUCUCCGAUUUGGGCUUAUCUCAACGUCACAUGUAACAUACAGACAGCACCAACGCAGAUGCUGGUCCUUCCUUUACCAGACUCCCGUGGACCUGCAACGGUCGUUGUCGCUUUGGAGGAAUCGUCUUCAAGCUAAGGCCUGCCUGUGUUUGGUGAGCUCUGUCCCUGGAGAGUCUCUGCCUAGCAGGAGAAGGGGCCAGGAGUCUCCGGAACCUUAAAGAAAACCAUCAGCCCAGAAGACAAGCAUUUUCUGUGACUUGUGAGUACUGGAGGUGAGGAAGACUUGAGCCACAGACCAAAAGAAAGGUCCCCUGCUUCAGUCAUCAUCUUCCUAGCUGAAGAGAAGAGCCUUGCCCCUGGGACCCAAGAGAGAGCCUUGAGGGGACCACCAGGUGACUCUUUUCCUUACAGCCAUGCUCACUCUUGCCUCCUUUACCCCAGGUGCUUUUUCUGCCUCAAGUUGUGAACACAGCAAGGGCAGGCUGAUGCCUUGGGUCGGCUAGAAUGCGAUAUUGCAGCCAUGAAGGCGAUCCUAGAGAACCAGCUUUCCUUGGUGGGCACACAGCCUCAGUAGGAAGCCUCACCACCUCAUUAAGCACUAUGCUGCAGGCUUAGCAGAUCCUUAGUGCCCAAUGUGUUCCUGGACCUGCACCCUGAGGCCCAGGACCCUGUGGUCACUGGCCACUUGUACACAUGAGGCUGCAAACCUGGGUGCUUUUUAGGCCCUCUCCUGGUGUGGGUUGGUGGGCACAUAAGUCCCAUUCAGAGGUCUGGUGUUGUGUUACUGCCAGGAAGGCAGUCUCCACAGCAGUGGUUAGAAGGGUCCCUGCAUACCACGUGUGACUGUGUUGAGAUUCCUUGCUCAUAGCUAUAAUGUCAUCACUCCUCCUCCUCCUGCUCCUGAUUUGUGGUUGGCAUCCUUGCUGCCCUCCCUUGGCUUGGCCUGCCUAUUGGAAAGGCAAGAAGGACAAAGGCUCCUUGACUGCCCCCUCUCCUCCUGUUUGUCUUGACAGCAUUUGGCUGGCUGACCUCCCACGGAAAGCUGACUUCCUGUGGGAAACACAUCAGUGUCACUCCUUCACCUCACCCUGGCAGGCCCUCUCUUCUCUUGGGUCUGGAGAGGGAGUGCUUGCAUAUCGAAGGGACCAUGGAGCCCACUCUGUGGCCAAGAAGCAUCCCUGAGUCCUUUCCACCAUACAGCCCAGAACCAGCUCCUCUCUCCUGUCCUGGUGGACACCAGGCACAGAGGAAACUGAGCCCCAGGGGACACUAUGGAGUUGUUUGUGCCCAAGGCAGGAUGACCAAAGGUCACUGCAGCCAAGAUUUCAGGGUCAGCCACCAAUGGCCCUUUUUGUCCUGCCACUGUGAAUGCAUGAUCCUCAAGCCCAAAUUCCCCUCCCAUCUGGUCCUUAAAAUAAAUGGUGAGCAAUUCCCCACCUGGGAGG
Cricetulus griseus (Chinese hamster) is the source of this 1550-nucleotide non-coding RNA. The record is from RefSeq and is a predicted model, not a curated record. NCBI's taxonomy places the organism in Eukaryota, Metazoa, Chordata, Mammalia, Rodentia, Cricetidae.